This 465-nucleotide ribosomal RNA is filed under the name uncultured bacterium. RNAcentral describes it as "partial 16S ribosomal RNA". It matches the Rfam family "Bacterial small subunit ribosomal RNA", at positions 28 to 507 of the family's 1533-position model. The record is from RNAcentral.
GACGAACGCUGGCGGCGUGCUUAACACAUGCAAGUCGAACGGAAAGGCCCUGCUUGCAGGGUACUCGAGUGGCGAACGGGUGAGUAACACGUGGGUGAUCUGCCCUGCACUUCGGGAUAAGCCUGGGAAACUGGGUCUAAUACCGGAUAGGAGCCAUUUUUAGUGUGAUGGUUGGAAAGUUUUUUCGGUGUAGGAUGAGCUCGCGGCCUAUCAGCUUGUUGGUGGGGUAAUGGCCUACCAAGGCGGCGACGGGUAGCCGGCCUGAGAGGGUGGACGGCCACAUUGGGACUGAGGUACGGCCCAGACUCCGACGGGAGGCAGCAGUGGGGAAGAUUGCACAAUGGGCGCAAGCCUGAUGCAGCGACGCCGCGGGUGGGAUGACGGCCUUCGGGUUGUAAACACCUUUCGCUAGGGACGAAGCUUUUUGUGACGGUACCUAGAUAAGAAGCACCGGCUAACUACGUG